UGGGGAAUAUUGGACAAUGGGCGCAAGCCUGAUCCAGCCAUGCCGCGUGAGUGACGAAGGCCUUAGGGUUGUAAAGCUCUUUUGGCGGGGACGAUAAUGACGGUACCCGCAGAAUAAGCCCCGGCUAACUUCGUGCCAGCAGCCGCGGUAAUACGAAGGGGGCUAGCGUUGUUCGGAAUUACUGGGCGUAAAGCGCACGUAGGCGGACUUUCAAGUCAGGGGUGAAAUCCCGGGGCUCAACCUCGGAACUGCCUUUGAUACUGUUGGUCUCGAAUCCGGUAGAGGUGGGUGGAAUUCCUAGUGUAGAGGUGAAAUUCGUAGAUAUUAGGAAGAACACCGGUGGCGAAGGCGGCCCACUGGACCGGUAUUGACGCUGAGGUGCGAAAGCGUGGGGAGCAAACAGGAUUAGAUACCCCUGUAGUCCCUGAGCGGGCUGGCAAGGCGCAU
This 447-nucleotide ribosomal RNA is filed under the name uncultured bacterium. RNAcentral's name for it is "bacterial SSU rRNA". It matches the Rfam family "Bacterial small subunit ribosomal RNA", at positions 355 to 825 of the family's 1533-position model. The record is from RNAcentral.